CGGCGUGCCUAACACAUGCAAAGUCGAGCGCGUCUGAUUUGAUGCUUGCAUUGAUGAAAAGAUGAGCGGGCGGACGGGUGAGUAACGCGUGGGUAACCUGCCCUAUACACAUGGAUAACAUACUGAAAAGUUUACUAAUACAUGAUAAUAUAUAUUUACGGCAUCGUAGAUAUAUCAAAGUGUUAGCGGUAUAGGAUGGACCCCGCGUCUGAUUAGCUAGUUGGUGAGAUAACUGCCCCACCCAAGGCGACGAUCAGUAGCCGACCUGAGAGGGUGAUCGGCCACAUUGGAACUGAGACACGGUCCAAACUCCUACGGGAGGCAGCAGUGGGGAAUAUUGCACAAUGGGCGCAAGCCUGAUGCAGCAACGCCGCGUGAACGAUGAAGGUCUUCGGAUCGUAAAGUUCUGUUGCAGGGGAAGAUAAUGACGGUACCCUGUGAGGAAGCCCCGGCUAACUACGUGCCAGCAGCCGCGGUAAU
This 480-nucleotide ribosomal RNA is filed under the name uncultured Peptostreptococcus sp. Its description in RNAcentral is "bacterial SSU rRNA". It matches the Rfam family "Bacterial small subunit ribosomal RNA", at positions 40 to 524 of the family's 1533-position model. Lineage: Bacteria; Bacillati; Bacillota; Clostridia; Peptostreptococcales; Peptostreptococcaceae. The record is from RNAcentral.